RNAcentral lists this non-coding RNA (417 nucleotides) under Cephalotus follicularis. RNAcentral describes it as "Eukaryotic small subunit ribosomal RNA". It matches the Rfam family "Eukaryotic small subunit ribosomal RNA", at positions 64 to 473 of the family's 1831-position model. The record is from Rfam by way of RNAcentral. Lineage: Eukaryota; Viridiplantae; Streptophyta; Magnoliopsida; Oxalidales; Cephalotaceae.
UUGAAUGGGUGGCUCAUGUGGUUUAAUUUAGACUGUCAAACUGCGAAUGGCUCAUUAAAUCAGUUAUAGUUUGUUUGAUGGUAUCUGCUACCCGGAUAACCGUAGUAAUUCUAGAGCUAACCAACCCCAACUUCUGGAAGGGAUGCAUUUAUUAGAUAAAAGGUCGACGCCGGCUCUGGCCGUUGCUUCGAUGAUUCAUGAUAACUCGACGGAUCGUACGACCAUCGUUCAUGCGACGUAUCAUUCAAAUUUCUACUCUAUCAACAUUCGAUGGUAGGAUAGUGGCCUACCAUGGUGGUGACAGGUGACGGAGAAUUAGGGUUCGAUUCCAGAAAGGGAGCCUGAGAAACCGCUACCACUUCCAAGGAAAGCGGCAAGCGCAAAUUACUCAAUCCUAACACGAGGAGGUAGUGACAA